Molecule: ribosomal RNA, 233 nt
Filed under: uncultured bacterium
Lineage: Bacteria
Description: partial 16S ribosomal RNA
Rfam family: Bacterial small subunit ribosomal RNA
Source: RNAcentral
CGGACGGGUGAGUAACACAUAGGAAUCUGCCCAGUAGCGGGGGACAACUUGGGGAAACUCAAGCUAAUACCGCAUACGCCCUACGGGGGAAAGCGGGGGACCUUCGGGCCUCGCACUAUUGGAUGAGCCUAUGUCAGAUUAGCUUGUUGGUGGGGUAAUGGGCCUACCAAGGCGACGAUCUGUAGCUGGUCUGAGAGGACGAUCAGCCACACUGGGACUGAGACACGGCCCAG